UACAGAGGGUGCAAGCGUUACUCGGAAUUACUGGGCGUAAAGCGUGCGUAGACGGUUAUGUAAGUUAGGUGUGAAAGCCCCGGGCUCAACCUGGGAAUUGCAUUUAAGACUGCAUAGCUAGGGUGCGGAAGAGGGAAGCGGAAUUUCCGGUGUAGCGGUGAAAUGCGUAGAUAUCGGAAGGAACAUCAGUGGCGAAAGCGGCUUCCUGGUCCAGCACCGACGUUCAGGCACGAAAGCGUGGGGAGCAAACAGG
RNAcentral lists this ribosomal RNA (253 nucleotides) under uncultured bacterium. RNAcentral's name for it is "partial 16S ribosomal RNA". It matches the Rfam family "Bacterial small subunit ribosomal RNA", at positions 524 to 776 of the family's 1533-position model. The record is from RNAcentral.